UACGGGAGGCAGCAGGGGGAAUAUUGCACAAUGGGCGAAAGCCUGAUGCAGCUAUGCCGCGUGUAUGAAGAAGGCCUUAGGGUUGUAAAGUACUUUCAUCGGGGAGGAAAAAACAAAACUAAUAAUUUUAUUUCUUGACGUUACCCGAAAAAGAAGCACCGGCUAACUCCGUGCCAGCAGCCGCGGUAAUACGGAGGGUGCUAGCGUUAAUCAGAAUUACUGGGCGUAAAGAGCACGUAGGUGGUUUUUUUAAAGUCAGAUGUGAAAUCCCUGGGCUUUAACCUGGAACUGCAUUUUGAAACUGAAAUACUAGAGUAUCGUAGAGGGAGGUAGAAUUCUAGGUGUAGCGGUGAAAUGCGUAGAUAUCUGGAGGAAUACCUGUGGCGAAAGCGGCCUCCUAAACGAAUACUGACACUGAGGGUGCGAAAGCGUGGGGAGCAAACAGGGAUUAGAUACCCGU
RNAcentral lists this ribosomal RNA (460 nucleotides) under uncultured bacterium. RNAcentral's name for it is "bacterial SSU rRNA". It matches the Rfam family "Bacterial small subunit ribosomal RNA", at positions 340 to 789 of the family's 1533-position model. The record is from RNAcentral.